UAGGGAAUCUUCCACAGUGGACGCAAGUCUGAUGGAGCAACGCCGCGUGAGUGAAGAAGAUCUUCGGAUCGUAAAACUCUGUUGUUAGAGAAGAACACGAGUGAGAGUAACUGUUCAUUCGAUGACGGUAUCUAACCAGCAAGUCACGGCUAACUACGUGCCAA
RNAcentral lists this ribosomal RNA (164 nucleotides) under uncultured bacterium. RNAcentral describes it as "partial 16S rRNA". It matches the Rfam family "Bacterial small subunit ribosomal RNA", at positions 355 to 511 of the family's 1533-position model. The record is from RNAcentral.